AGGCAGAAUUGGAACGCAUAUGGGCGCAUCGGACGUUUAACCCGACCGAUGUACACAUUCUUGAGUGCCU
Molecule: ribosomal RNA, 70 nt
Filed under: Anopheles aconitus
Lineage: Eukaryota; Metazoa; Arthropoda; Insecta; Diptera; Culicidae
Description: partial 5.8S ribosomal RNA
Source: RNAcentral